GCUAGUAAUCGCGGAUCAGCAUGCCGCGGUGAAUACGUUCCCGGGCCUUGUACACACCGCCCGUCACACCACGAGAGUUUGUAACACCCGAAGUCGGUGAGGUAACCUUUUGGAGCCAGCCGCCUAAGGUGGGACAGAUGAUUGGGGUGAAGUCGUAACAAGGUAGCCGUAUCGGAAGGUGCGGCUGGAUCACCUCCUUUCUAAGGA
Molecule: ribosomal RNA, 207 nt
Filed under: Rossellomorea vietnamensis
Lineage: Bacteria; Bacillati; Bacillota; Bacilli; Caryophanales; Bacillaceae
Description: Bacillus vietnamensis partial 16S ribosomal RNA
Rfam family: Bacterial small subunit ribosomal RNA
Source: RNAcentral